GCAUGUACAAAGGGAUGUAAAAUACCCAAUUGUCUUCAGGAACUCAAGGCUCUUCAUUGCUGUGGUAUAGAAACUUCAUCUCACUCAUUCAGAAGCUGUUUUUAAUUUGUUCUAUAGUAAACUUCUCGACACAGAUGAGUCAGCCCCUGAGAUGUAAGUUAUCUGCAGCAUUGGUGCAUUACUGUUAACUGUUCUUCCAGUUCUCUCAGUUAAUCUGAAUAGAUGUUCUGAACAGACAUAUUUCUGUAUUAGUAUACAAGUUUCAUUUCCUAGUUUGCUCGGGGACAAAAGUAUAUUGGAAUGUUUAAUAGAAUUCAGUGGUUUAUACCAUCUCAUGCAAUCUGCAGUAUUUUCACCUCCGUGUUCAGAUGUGAUGUUUGUAACAUGAUUANUUGCAAUGAUAUCGACCGUGAGAUGCGGAAGUGCUUAAAGAAAGAGUACGAAGAAAAAAGGGCCAGGAACCAGGAGCUGCGUCGGAAAAAAAUUAAUGCUCACAAGAACUUGGAGAAGUGAGCUAUGCCAGACAUGGACAAUUGCUUCUGACAGGGACGCUGGCUUGAAAGUUGACACAGUAUCUCUUUCAAGUUGCCAGCAUUCAACCUGUGGUUUGUGAAAUGGUGGAAAAAUAAACGUAUCUAAAACAUACUAAUUUCCAGAAAGGUAAACUGAGUGUGGGAAAAAUAAAAUGAUUGCUCACAAGUUAAUUUUUGGCCUCAGAAAGACACCUGUUGUGACAAGUCUUCAUUCUGUCAUAGUUUUGUUAUGACUAUUAAGUAAUGAUGCAUCAGUGUGUGUGGAGUGUCAUGCAUUCAAAGCUGCGACAUUCCCAGUCUUGUGUUGAGUUGCAUUUAUUCCUUCACAGUAAGUAGUUUCUCUUUCAUCUUUUUUUCCUUGCAAAAUGCUAAAUGAUUUAUCACAACACUAUGAAGAGUGAAUGAAAACACUGUUUAAAUGGAUUACUAGAAAUGAAUUUCAAACCAAUGUGGCUUGAAAUUGAAGAUGGCCUAUCGAGCAAUUAGUGGAGUUCUAGUGUUUUUGCUGGAGCCAAAAUGAUGAAACAACCAUUUUCCAUUGAGAACGUUAAGAAUUCUUCCUGCCAACU
RNAcentral lists this long non-coding RNA (1102 nucleotides) under Pavo cristatus (Indian peafowl). Its description in RNAcentral is "lncRNA (ENSPSTG00000013948.1)". The record is from RNAcentral. Lineage: Eukaryota; Metazoa; Chordata; Aves; Galliformes; Phasianidae.